UAGUCCACGCCGUAAACGAUGGUUACUAGCUGUUCGGUUUUCGGACUGAGUGGCUAAGCGAAAGUGAUAAGUAACCCACCUGGGGAGUACGUUCGCAAGAAUGAAACUCAAAGGAAUUGACGGGGGCCCGCACAAGCGGUGGAGCAUGUGGUUUAAUUCGAUGAUACGCGAGGAACCUUACCAGGGCUUAAAUGUAGUGGGACAGGUGUGGAAACACGCCCUUCUUCGGACUCAUUACAAGGUGCUGCAUGGUUGUCGUCAGCUCGUGCCGUGAGGUGUCAGGUUAAGUCCUAUAACGAGCGCAACCCCUGUUGUUAGUUGCCAGCGAGUCAUGUCGGGAACUCUAACAAGACUGCCAGUGCAAACUGUGAGGAAGGUGGGGAUGACGUCAAAUCAUCACGGCCCUUACGUCCUGGGCUACACACGUGUUACAAUGGUUGGUACAGAGGGCAGCUACCUAGUGAUAGGAUGCAAAUCUCGAAAGCCAAUCUCAGUUCGGAUUGGAGUCUGCAA
RNAcentral lists this ribosomal RNA (513 nucleotides) under uncultured bacterium. RNAcentral's name for it is "bacterial SSU rRNA". It matches the Rfam family "Bacterial small subunit ribosomal RNA", at positions 791 to 1310 of the family's 1533-position model. The record is from RNAcentral.